RNAcentral lists this ribosomal RNA (495 nucleotides) under uncultured bacterium. RNAcentral's name for it is "partial 16S ribosomal RNA". It matches the Rfam family "Bacterial small subunit ribosomal RNA", at positions 28 to 507 of the family's 1533-position model. The record is from RNAcentral.
GACGAACGCUGGCGGCGUGCCUAAUACAUGCAAGUAGAACGCUGAAGGAGGAGCUUGCUUCUCCGGAUGAGCUGCGAACGGGUGAGUAACGCGUAGGUAACCUGCCUGGUAGCGGGGGAUAACUAUUGGAAACGAUAGCUAAUACCGCAUAACAGUAGAUGUUGCAUGACAUUUGCUUAAAAGGUGCACUUGCAUCACUACCAGAUGGACCUGCGUUGUAUUAGCUAGUUGGUGAGGUAACGGCUCACCAAGGCGACGAUACAUAGCCGACCUGAGAGGGUGAUCGGCCACACUGGGACUGAGACACGGCCCAGACUCCUACGGGAGGCAGCAGUAGGGAAUCUUCGGCAAUGGACGGAAGUCUGACCGAGCAACGCCGCGUGAGUGAAGAAGGUUUUCGGAUCGUAAAGCUCUGUUGUAAGAGAAGAACGAGUGUGAGAGUGGAAAGUUCACGCUGUGACGGUAUCUUACCAGAAAGGGACGGCUAACUACGUG